AAUGCAUGACUUGAAUGGUCUGGCGCCCUCAUUUGUCCGCUCGGAUAGUUAUUAUGGCGCUGUUCCCUGUGGGUGGCACUAGAAUAUCCUUUCCCGCUAACGCCGCCGUUACACUACUGCGACCCAAGUGGAUAUUAUGAACUUGUGAAUUGAGGAGAUCCCUUGAUCCUGGACCUGGCUGGCUUCAGAACAGGGGGGCAGUUAGAGAAGGAAUCUUGUGUCUGCUCAGCUAUUUGUUUCAUCAUUCGAGUCGAAAAACAAGAAUAAGAACUGGAAAGCAGCCCGUCCUUGAACUGUACUUUGCAAUAACUAUAACAGCUUGUGGCGGAAAUUUGAUGUGCCAAGUACAGAAUCCUUCUGGUGCACCAGGAUUUUGGCCUUGGAGGUCGAUCCUGGGCUCUUCGGAUUGUAUCUCCUCAAGAGGCAACUGAA
This 432-nucleotide small RNA is filed under the name Histoplasma capsulatum. RNAcentral's name for it is "hypothetical RNA". RNAcentral also lists the same sequence under 1 other name. Lineage: Eukaryota; Fungi; Ascomycota; Eurotiomycetes; Onygenales; Ajellomycetaceae. The record is from RNAcentral.